GGAGGGGUGCCCGAGUGGCCAAAGGGAGCUGACUGUAAAUCAGCCGCGUCUACGCUUCGAAGGUUCGAAUCCUUCCCCCUCCA
This 83-nucleotide transfer RNA is filed under the name Pseudomonadota bacterium. RNAcentral's name for it is "tRNA-Tyr". It matches the Rfam family "tRNA". From Rfam's summary of the family: Transfer RNA (tRNA) molecules are approximately 80 nucleotides in length. Their secondary structure includes four short double-helical elements and three loops (D, anti-codon, and T loops). Further hydrogen bonds mediate the characteristic L-shaped molecular structure. tRNAs have two regions of fundamental functional importance: the anti-codon, which is responsible for specific mRNA codon recognition, and the 3' end, to which the tRNAs corresponding amino acid is attached (by aminoacyl-tRNA synthetases). tRNAs cope with the degeneracy of the genetic code in two manners: having more than one tRNA (with a specific anti-codon) for a particular amino acid; and 'wobble' base-pairing, i.e. permitting non-standard base-pairing at the 3rd anti-codon position. The record is from RNAcentral. Lineage: Bacteria; Pseudomonadati; Pseudomonadota. RNAcentral also lists the same sequence under 2 other names.